CUGGUUCUGUAAGUCAGCUGCU
Molecule: microRNA, 22 nt
Filed under: Oreochromis niloticus (Nile tilapia)
Lineage: Eukaryota; Metazoa; Chordata; Actinopteri; Cichliformes; Cichlidae
Description: oni-miR-10901
Source: miRBase by way of RNAcentral